GGGCCUGUAGUCCAGUGGUUACGACGUCUCCCUUACACGGAGAAGAUCAGAGGUUCGAGUCCUCUCAGGCCCA
Molecule: transfer RNA, 73 nt
Filed under: Candidatus Pacearchaeota archaeon
Lineage: Archaea; Nanobdellati
Description: tRNA-Val
Rfam family: tRNA
About the family: Transfer RNA (tRNA) molecules are approximately 80 nucleotides in length.
Source: RNAcentral